Long non-coding RNA from Triticum dicoccoides, 958 nucleotides. RefSeq lists it as uncharacterized. The transcript has 2 exons. The record is from RefSeq and is a predicted model, not a curated record. Lineage: Eukaryota; Viridiplantae; Streptophyta; Magnoliopsida; Poales; Poaceae.
GGGAGGUGGGAGCAAGUACCAAAAAAGUACCAAAAAAGACCGGGUGAGGUGGGACGAAAAUAAAACCCGGAACGCGACCUACCAACUGAGACAUUAGGAGUAGAGAUUCUACACUAAUAUAGCAAGGCAAAGCCUAAUCUUUACUCUGGGUCACUGAUAGAAGUACUGGUGUAUACUCAUCGAAGGUACACAAUGAACUUUUUGUUCUUCUUAUUCUUAUGGGAACUUAUUGUACUUUUUGUUGUGAUAUACGCCCAUCUCGAAUUUCAUUUUAGGUCUACUUAUUUUAGCUCUAGGUGUUGAUAGUAAGAAACACUUGCAAAUAUAUGUCUCUUGUGUAUAUAAAUAUAUGCUCGCUCUACAAUAUAAUGUAGAUAAUGAUAACAGUAAUUUAAUUUGCUAUUUAGUGUACAAUAUUUGUAUUCAUAAGAGGAGAUAGUUAUACAAUUCAUUGCGGUUUUAUAUCUGAGUUAAGAAAAAAAAAUAGUCUUCCUCUGAGGUAUGUUACCUUGCUGAGGCUGCUCUGCUUUUGCUCUAUUUGCUGCUCUUUUGUGCUAUACUACUAUUCCAUGUAUAGAGAGAUCGGAGAAGAGAACAACAGCCUGUUACUACCGAUUUUUCAUGCUGCUACUCGCUUACUGUUACACAUCUACAUACAGAAGGCUGCUGCUUGCUGAUUACAAUCCAUUCAUGAUAUGUAGAUAUGUAUGCUUCUGCUGGGUACAUGUGAACAAAGAGACAAGGAAUGGAAGCUGUAGCGGUAGUCGGACGGUGGCCACGCAUUGGCAAUCACUGUUUAUAUACGUGACUCCAGCCACCUAUGUUUGUGAAUGGCAAGAAGAUGCUUAUUCUCCAUGGUGCAAGGACUAGCGCAGAUUACCCCUUCAUAUCAUUACCCAUUUAUUUUGUGGUCUGACGAACACUGCCAAAAAUAAAUAUGGAUUUGAUUUGAUUCGUA